UACGAAGGGGGCUAGCGUUGCUCGGAAUCACUGGGCGUAAAGCGCACGUAGGCGGCUUCUUAAGUCAGGGGUGAAAUCCUGGAGCUCAACUCCAGAACUGCCUUUGAUACUGAGAAGCUUGAGUCCGGGAGAGGUGAGUGGAACUGCGAGUGUAGAGGUGAAAUUCGUAGAUAUUCGCAAGAACACCAGUGGCGAAGGCAGCUCACUGGCCCGGUACUGACGCUGAGGUGCGAAAGCGUGGGGAGCAAACAGG
RNAcentral lists this ribosomal RNA (253 nucleotides) under uncultured bacterium. RNAcentral describes it as "partial 16S ribosomal RNA". It matches the Rfam family "Bacterial small subunit ribosomal RNA", at positions 524 to 776 of the family's 1533-position model. The record is from RNAcentral.